RNAcentral lists this ribosomal RNA (396 nucleotides) under uncultured bacterium. RNAcentral describes it as "bacterial SSU rRNA". It matches the Rfam family "Bacterial small subunit ribosomal RNA", at positions 28 to 412 of the family's 1533-position model. The record is from RNAcentral.
GAUGAACGCUAGCUACAGGCUUAACACAUGCAAGUCGAGGGAAACGAUAGAGAAAGCUUGCUUUUUCUAGGCGUCGACCGGCGCACGGGUGAGUAACGCGUAUCCAACCUGCCCAUCACUUGGGAUAACCUUGCGAAAGUAAGACUAAUACCCAAUGACGUCUCUAGAAGACAUCUGAAAGAGAUUAAAGAUUUAUCGGUGAUGGAUGGGGAUGCGUCUGAUUAGCUUGUUGGCGGGGUAACGGCCCACCAAGGCGACGAUCAGUAGGGGUUCCUGAGAGGAAGGUCCCCCCACAUUGGAACUGAGACACGGUCCAAACUCCUACGGGAGGCAGCAGUUGAGGAAUAUUGGUCAAAUGGACGAGAGUCUGACCAGCCAAGUAGCGUGCAGGAUGAC